Molecule: ribosomal RNA, 253 nt
Filed under: uncultured bacterium
Lineage: Bacteria
Description: partial 16S ribosomal RNA
Rfam family: Bacterial small subunit ribosomal RNA
Source: RNAcentral
UACGUAGGGUGCAAGCGUUAAUCGGAAUUACUGGGCGUAAAGCGUGCGCAGGCGGUUUUGUAAGACAGGCGUGAAAUCCCCGGGCUCAACCUGGGAAUGGCGCUUGUGACUGCAAAGCUGGAGUGCGGCAGAGGGGGAUGGAAUUCCGCGUGUAGCAGUGAAAUGCGUAGAUAUGCGGAGGGACACCGAUGGCGAAGGCAAUCCCCUGGGCCUGCACUGACGCUCAUGCACGAAAGAGUGGGGAGCAAACAGG